AUUGAACGCUGGCGGCAGGCCUAACACAUGCAAGUCGAGCGGAUGAAGGGAGCUUGCUCCUGGAUUCAGCGGCGGACGGGUGAGUAAUGCCUAGGAAUCUGCCUGGUAGUGGGGGAUAACGUCCGGAAACGGGCGCUAAUACCGCAUACGUCCUGAGGGAGAAAGUGGGGGAUCUUCGGACCUCACGCUAUCAGAUGAGCCUAGGUCGGAUUAGCUAGUUGGUGGGGUAAAGGCCUACCAAGGCGACGAUCCGUAACUGGUCUGAGAGGAUGAUCAGUCACACUGGAACUGAGAAACGGUCCAGACUCCUACGGGAGGCAGCAGUGGGGAAUAUUGGACAGUGGGCGAAAGCCUGAUCCAGCCAUGCCGCGUGUGUGAAGAAGGUCUUCGGAUUGUAAAGCACUUUAAGUUGGGAGGAAGGGCUGUAAGUUAAUACCUUGCUGUUUUGACGUUACCAACAGAAUAAGCACCGGCUAACUUCGUG
RNAcentral lists this ribosomal RNA (484 nucleotides) under uncultured bacterium. Its description in RNAcentral is "partial 16S ribosomal RNA". It matches the Rfam family "Bacterial small subunit ribosomal RNA", at positions 30 to 507 of the family's 1533-position model. The record is from RNAcentral.